Molecule: long non-coding RNA, 2205 nt
Organism: Canis lupus familiaris (dog)
Lineage: Eukaryota; Metazoa; Chordata; Mammalia; Carnivora; Canidae
Exons: 10
Source: RefSeq, a predicted model, not a curated record
GCCCCCCGCCCAGGUGGGGACGGGGCACUCGGCCUCCUGCCAGCCCCCCUCCGCCCCCAGCCCGGUCCUGACCCCCCUCCCACUUUGCACCGGGAGGCUCGGGGGCUGUGCAGCCCAGAAGGACCAGCUCCCAUCACCUGCCCGACGAUUCAGGAGGAAGAGGAGAUAACAUACUGGCUCAAACAUACUCUUUGAUGCAAUAGACCAUUCCAGCCUAGAGGACAUCCUGUGGAUCAUACACCUGGAUUCGCAGCUUGAGUUUCACAUUACUUCUAGGAUUCCUCAGGAGUUCUGACCAGGAGUUCUUUUUAUCUUCAUCAUGUAUGUUUUUUAUUGGAGAAGAACUUCCUUUCAUCAUAUACAAUCUUGGUGGGUCCCUCAAUCAAGAUGUUCAUUCCAACUCUGGCCAAGGAGUGGACACACUACUCAAGAUAUCCAAAGCUGCUAUUUCACAUCUUUUCCAACGCAAAAUUAUUCAGCUUCUCUCUAUUCUAGGUCCGUGAUUUUCAAGCUGCUAUUUUGAAAACGGGUCGUGCAAUCGAGUGAGUGAGUCCAGCUAGCAUUGGCGAGAAAAAGAGAAAUCACACAGAGCAGAACAUUUCGGAGGGCAUAGCCAAUAGUAAAGGUGGACCUCUCCACAGGGUUUCUUAGGCUUCUUCACAGUACAGAAGCUGACUAACAAAAAGGAGUGUUCCAGGAGGCCUAGGAGGAAGCCAUAAGACUUCUUAGGACUUCUAGCUCCAUGGGGAUCAAUCAGAAUCCUUUGCCACAUUGAUCAAGUAGGUGACUAAGACCACUGAGAUUCAAGGUGAGCGGAAAGAUUCUAUGGAAAGAGUAGCAAAGAAUUUGAAGACACUUUUAAUCUACCCCGCCCUGUAUGUUUAUCCAAGUUUUGCUGACUAGACCAUCACGGCGUCUCUCACAUCCAUUCCUCAUGCUUUCAUCCACCCAAAACCUCUUGUGCGGAGCAGGCAAACAAAUCUGCAUGGCAGCGCCAACGGAUCAGGAAGGAGAUGGUGUCAGACCCUCGCAGCAAUGUGGUAGCCUCCGAACAGCCACGAAGGCAGCUUUGAAAAUGUUGAGGACUAUGACCUUCUGUUAUGACGCUAGUCUUAAGAGGCAAAUGACCUGUGUUACCACAGAUCCCUAUAUGGUGUGGUUUCCAGGAAUGCAUUGUGGACAUAAACAAGGACAGCCUGUACCGUUCCAGGAAAUGGAAGUGAAACAGACCAGCAUUUGAGUGACACUGAAAUGGAUCCCGCAAACACACUGGAUCAGGGUUGUAUAAUUUAAUACAAUUAUUUGUAAACUGGAGGCCGAGACUUAUUAUAUAAAAAUGGCAUAUAGUGGAUAUGAAAGAGAAAGAAGUGUGAGUUGGAGUGAAUCUGGUCAGCGGAACUGUAUCUUUGUUGCACAAAAGAGCUUGUUGGCCAAAGCUUCCUCUAGCUCUCUGCAGUAAUCAGCAGAAUUCAUUCUUCCUUUUGCCUCGAUUCCAAGGAUUCAAACAGAACCUGUGAAGUUGACAACUUCCUUAUUUGACACAUGUUUGAUCUCUGCAGAACCUCUAUUCAUUUACUGGGUGCUUAACCACUUAUUUCCCUGAAAUUCAACUUCACAUUGCACACAGUGUUGACUCUCACAUGAAAAACCUAGGGAUCAGCCCAAAAAAAUCUUCAGUGUGAACAUGAACACCGCAGGCGAGUAUUUUUACUAGGAGCAAUGUGCAUCCAGGAUAAAGGAAGAAAGGAUACCGAGGGGGGUGGGGAAUCAACCAAAAUACAUUAACUAGUUAGAGACCACUGCACUCAACAAUAGAUGAGCAUCCGAUUCAAGUGGUUGAAAUCAGAAACUUUUCCCCAGCUGUACUGAGAUACAUUUGGCAUAAAACACUGCAUAAGUUUAAGGUGUACAACAUAUUUCAUAUACCUAUAUAUUGCAAAAUGUAAAGCUGGAAUUUAAAGAGAUUGUGAAAAAAAAGGGAAAAAAGUAAUAAAAAAAGUAAAGAGGUUGUGGCAUCAUAUAUUAGAGCGGGUUAUAUCCCAAAUAUGGGAUAGAGUGGUUAUAUCCCAAAUAUGGGAUAGAGUGGUUAUAUCCCAAAUAUGAUUUUUAUUUUUCACUUGGAAUAGUACACCGCAUAAACACGUAUAUUUUAUGAAGGUUGUUUUUAAAGUUUAUUGGACAUUUAGUAAAGGCCAGCACUAAGAC